GAACGCACAUUGCGCCCGCUAGUAUUCUGGCGGGCAUGCCUGUUCGAGCGUCAUUUCAACCCUCAAGCCCCCGGGCUUGGUGUUGGGGAUCGGCGAGCCUCCGCGCCCGCCGUCCCCUAAAUCUAGUGGCGGUCUCGCUGUAGCUUCCUCUGCGUAGUAGCACACCUCGCACUGGGAAACAGCGCGGCCACGCCGUUAAACACCCAACUUCUGAAAGUUUGACCUCGGAUCAGGUAGGAAUACCCGCUGAACUUA
This 255-nucleotide unclassified non-coding RNA is filed under the name Dactylonectria estremocensis. Its description in RNAcentral is "sequence contains 5.8S rRNA gene". The stretch from base 1 to 53 matches the Rfam family "5.8S ribosomal RNA", at positions 102 to 154 of the family's 154-position model. Lineage: Eukaryota; Fungi; Ascomycota; Sordariomycetes; Hypocreales; Nectriaceae. The record is from RNAcentral.